Long non-coding RNA from Bombyx mori (domestic silkworm), 455 nucleotides. RefSeq lists it as uncharacterized. NCBI's taxonomy places the organism in Eukaryota, Metazoa, Arthropoda, Insecta, Lepidoptera, Bombycidae. The record is from RefSeq and is a predicted model, not a curated record. The transcript is spliced from 2 exons.
UGAGAGUCAGCUUAGGAAUUUUUUCAUUAAUAAAUUCACACACUAUAUUAUGAUACCAUGUUUUAGAUAUAUUAACUCAAUUUGUCUUUCAAAUUUGGUCUCAAUGAUGGUGGAUCGAAGGAUAGUUAUGAUUUAAAUUUAGCUAUGUUAAUGCUAAGAGUUUUGUCUCUUUAGCAUUUGUAAACUGAUUUUUUUCUUCAAAUAUGAAUGACUGUUUCACGAUACAAACAGGCAAGAUAUGUACGAUUAAAAGACCAAGUUUGUUGGCCGAUCCGACUCCAAGGAUCGCAACAGAUGGAGAACAAUUGUACAAGAGAGAUUGAUGCAGCGGUGAAGUCAUGACCCUCAUUAAUGAGGAGAACGAUGCAAGAAGAAUCUGUUCCCAUAAUAUAAAGUGUACAUAAUUAUUAUCAUUAUAAUUAUUACACCAAUAAAAUUUUAUUUAUUACAAUUUA